GCCAUUUUGGCUUAGUGGGUAGAGUGUCAGCCUGAGGAUGAAAGGGUCCCUGGUUCGAUUCCGGUCAAUGGCA
This 73-nucleotide transfer RNA is filed under the name Myotis brandtii (Brandt's bat). It matches the Rfam family "tRNA". Rfam says of the family: Transfer RNA (tRNA) molecules are approximately 80 nucleotides in length. Their secondary structure includes four short double-helical elements and three loops (D, anti-codon, and T loops). Further hydrogen bonds mediate the characteristic L-shaped molecular structure. tRNAs have two regions of fundamental functional importance: the anti-codon, which is responsible for specific mRNA codon recognition, and the 3' end, to which the tRNAs corresponding amino acid is attached (by aminoacyl-tRNA synthetases). tRNAs cope with the degeneracy of the genetic code in two manners: having more than one tRNA (with a specific anti-codon) for a particular amino acid; and 'wobble' base-pairing, i.e. permitting non-standard base-pairing at the 3rd anti-codon position. Lineage: Eukaryota; Metazoa; Chordata; Mammalia; Chiroptera; Vespertilionidae. The record is from Rfam by way of RNAcentral.